Molecule: ribosomal RNA, 790 nt
Filed under: uncultured bacterium
Lineage: Bacteria
Description: bacterial SSU rRNA
Rfam family: Bacterial small subunit ribosomal RNA
Source: RNAcentral
AGUUUGAUCAUGGCUCAGAUUGAACGCUGGCGGCAGGCUUAACACAUGCAAGUCGAGCGGGGGAGGUUACUUCGGUAACUGACCUAGCGGCGGACGGGUGAGUAAUGCUUAGGAAUCUGCCUAUUAGUGGGGGACAACAUUCCGAAAGGAAUGCUAAUACCGCAUACGUCCUACGGGGGAAAGCAGGGGAUCUUCGGACCUUGCGCUAAUAGAUGAGCCUAAGUCGGAUUAGCUAGUUGGUGGGGUAAAGGCCUACCAAGGCGACGAUCUGUAGCGGGUCUGAGAGGAUGAUCCGCCACACUGGGACUGAGACACGGCCCAGACUCCUACGGGAGGCAGCAGUGGGGAAUAUUGGACAAUGGGGGGAACCCUGAUCCAGCCAUGCCGCGUGUGUGAAGAAGGCCUUUUGGUUGUAAAGCACUUUAAGCGAGGAGGAGGCUCCUUUAGUUAAUACCUAAAGAGAGUGGACGUUACUCGCAGAAUAAGCACCGGCUAACUCUGUGCCAGCAGCCGCGGUAAUACAGAGGGUGCGAGCGUUAAUCGGAUUUACUGGGCGUAAAGCGUGCGUAGGCGGCUUUUUAAGUCGGAUGUGAAAUCCCUGAGCUUAACUUAGGAAUUGCAUUCGAUACUGGAAAGCUAGAGUAUGGGAGAGGAUGGUAGAAUUCCAGGUGUAGCGGUGAAAUGCGUAGAGAUCUGGAGGAAUACCGAUGGCGAAGGCAGCCAUCUGGCCUAAUACUGACGCUGAGGUACGAAAGCAUGGGGAGCAAACAGGAUUAGAUACCCUGGUAGU